AGUUGAACCUUGGGCCUGGCUGGCCGGUCCGCCUCACCGCGUGCACUGGUUCGGCCGGGCCUUUCCCUCUGGGGAGCCCUAUGCCCUUCACUGGGUGUAGUGGGGAACCAGGACUUUUACUGUGAAAAAAUUAGAGUGUUCAAAGCAGGCAUAUGCUCGAAUACAUCAGCAUGGAAUAAUAGAAUAGGACGUGUGGUUCUAUUUUGUUGGUUUCUAGGACCGCCGUAAUGAUUAAUAGGGACAGUCGGGGGCAUCAGUAUUCAAUUGUCAGAGGUGAAAUUCUUGGAUUUAUUGAAGACUAACUACUGCGAAAGCAUUUGCCAAGGAUGUUUUCAUUAAUCAGGAACGAAAGUUAGGGGAUCGAAGACGAUCAGAUACCGUCGUAGUCUUAACCAUAAACUAUGCCGACUAGGGAUCGGACGAUGUUAUUUUUUGACUCGUUCGGCACCUUACGAGAAAUCAAAGUUUUUGGGUUCUGGGGGGAGUAUGGUCGCAAGGCUGAAACUUAAA
RNAcentral lists this ribosomal RNA (510 nucleotides) under Xylariaceae sp. Its description in RNAcentral is "SSU rRNA". It matches the Rfam family "Eukaryotic small subunit ribosomal RNA", at positions 632 to 1148 of the family's 1831-position model. Lineage: Eukaryota; Fungi; Ascomycota; Sordariomycetes; Xylariales; Xylariaceae. The record is from RNAcentral.